RNAcentral lists this ribosomal RNA (77 nucleotides) under Streptomyces sp. Ncost-T6T-1. RNAcentral's name for it is "23S rRNA. Bacterial LSU". Lineage: Bacteria; Bacillati; Actinomycetota; Actinomycetes; Kitasatosporales; Streptomycetaceae. The record is from RNAcentral.
ACUGGGUUGAUAGGCCAGAUGUGGAAGCCCGGUAACGGGUGGAGCUGACUGGUACUAAUAGGCCGAGGGCUUGUCCU